UACGUAGGGGGCUAGCGUUGUCCGGAAUUAUUGGGCGUAAAGGGCUCGUAGGCGGUCUGUUGCGUCGGGAGUGAAAACUCAGGGCUUAACCCUGAGCCUGCUUCCGAUACGGGCAGACUAGAGGUAUGCAGGGGAGAACGGAAUUCCUGGUGUAGCGGUGAAAUGCGCAGAUAUCAGGAGGAACACCAAUAGCGAAGGCAGCUCGCUGGGACGGUACUGAUGCUAAGGCGCGAAAGCGUGGGGAGCGAACAGG
This 253-nucleotide ribosomal RNA is filed under the name uncultured bacterium. Its description in RNAcentral is "partial 16S ribosomal RNA". It matches the Rfam family "Bacterial small subunit ribosomal RNA", at positions 524 to 776 of the family's 1533-position model. The record is from RNAcentral.